UGGCGCACGGGUGCGUAACGCGUGGGAACCUGCCUUUAGGUUCGGAAUAACAGUUAGAAAUGACUGCUAAUACCGGAUAAUGUCUUCGGACCAAAGAUUUAUCGCCUUUAGAUGGGCCCGCGUUAGAUUAGAUAGUUGGUGGGGUAAUGGCCUACCAAGUCGACGAUCUAUAGCUGGUCUGAGAGGAUGAUCAGCCACACUGGGACUGAGACACGGCCCAGACUCCUACGGGAGGCAGCAGUGGGGAAUAUUGGACAAUGGGCGAAAGCCUGAUCCAGCAAUGCCGCGUGAGUGAUGAAGGCCUUAGGGUUGUAAAGCUCUUUUACCAGGGAUGAUAAUGACAGUACCUGGAGAAUAAGCUCCGGCUAACUCCGUGCCAGCAGCCGCGGUAAUACGGAGGGAGCUAGCGUUGUUCGGAAUUACUGGGCGUAAAGCGCACGUAGGCGGCUUUUCAAGUCAGGGGUGAAAUCCCGGGGCUCAACCCCGGAACUGCCCUUGAAACUGGAUGGCUAGAAUACUGGAGAGGUGAGUGGAAUUCCGAGUGUAGAGGUGAAAUUCGUAGAUAUUCGGAAGAACACCAGUGGCGAAGGCGACUCACU
RNAcentral lists this ribosomal RNA (599 nucleotides) under Qipengyuania citrea. RNAcentral's name for it is "bacterial SSU rRNA". It matches the Rfam family "Bacterial small subunit ribosomal RNA", at positions 96 to 730 of the family's 1533-position model. The record is from RNAcentral. Lineage: Bacteria; Pseudomonadati; Pseudomonadota; Alphaproteobacteria; Sphingomonadales; Erythrobacteraceae.